CGAUUCUUUUAAAACUUAUGCAAAAAAGAAAAAGGAAAGAAAGAAAAAGAAGAGGAAAAAGAAAGAACCAACAACUCUGUUUCUAAGAUUUUAAAGCGAUAGGCAAGUCGGAGAAGCCGAGAUUUAUUCGGGAAAAUCCAGAGCGCGCUAAACCAACCUGGCGUUGGGAAGACCAGCCCGCCUGCUUGGAUGAUGGGACUGUUGAUUCCUUCAAUUAAUGAAAUGCAUUUGGUGUUAAUCAUAUUUAUUUUACUUUAUGGGAGAGGGGGCCGCUAGCAGGGUGCAUUAAAAAAAAAUAAGAUUCUAAAAAGCCUGCAAAAAGAUCGAAGAGUGAAAACUAUUGUUGGACCGAGUUGGUUUUUACCUCAACAGCGCCACCUUUCGGCAAAGCUUUGUGCCAGCUGCAGAUGAAAUGGAUGUGCUUUUCGUAGGACUUCACUUCUCUGAAGCAGGUCCCUCAUCUGGAACAUCGGGGUAUUGUCAGGAUUAGAGAUGGUGCCAAGUAUCUUCUACCGUGCGAGUCCACAGAGGAGCUCCACAAAUGAGCCUUAUGAGGAGUAGACUCAGGCUGUCACCUCGACUCGACUGAUGACCUCAAGGAGGAAGGAUGGAUAUGACCCAACGUCACAGGUGAUCCCCACCAGUGAAUGUUCCAGAAGCUUCCAUGGAGCUCUUGGAGACGUGGCUCAUACACAGGACAAAGCUCCUUUGCCGUGGUCAGCUCUGCCUUUAUAUGCAGCCCCUCACUGCCCGCCUAUCUUCACAAUCCAGCGCCCUCUCUAAAUUUCAUGAUUUCAAGGUAAGAAAUACCCUCCAUUGUGUUUCCUCUUAAAUAUCCUCCAGAGAGUUACAUUUUGGGAACAAACGCUCAGUGCCAGUUUUGUCAUUGUAUCCUUUUCACUGAUAAAUUAUAUGAUCCAAAUUAAUUAGUCCAAGUUUCAAACGAUAGUGCCUUA
Molecule: long non-coding RNA, 956 nt
Organism: Equus caballus (horse)
Lineage: Eukaryota; Metazoa; Chordata; Mammalia; Perissodactyla; Equidae
Source: RefSeq, a predicted model, not a curated record